Molecule: ribosomal RNA, 253 nt
Filed under: uncultured bacterium
Lineage: Bacteria
Description: partial 16S ribosomal RNA
Rfam family: Bacterial small subunit ribosomal RNA
Source: RNAcentral
GACGUAGGGCGCGAGCGUUGUCCGGAUUUAUUGGGCGUAAAGAGCUCGUAGGCGGCUCGUUGCGUCGGCUGUGAAAACCCGCAGCUCAACUGUGGGCUUGCAGCCGAUACGGGCGGGCUAGAAUUCGGUAGGGGAGACUGGAAUUCCUGGUGUAGCGGUGAAAUGCGCAGAUAUCAGGAGGAACACCAGUGGCGAAGGCGGGUCUCUGGGCCGAUAUUGACGCUGAGGAGCGAAAGCGUGGGGAGCGAACAGG